This 586-nucleotide ribosomal RNA is filed under the name uncultured bacterium. RNAcentral's name for it is "bacterial SSU rRNA". It matches the Rfam family "Bacterial small subunit ribosomal RNA", at positions 338 to 916 of the family's 1533-position model. The record is from RNAcentral.
CCUACGGGAGGCAGCAGUAGGGAAUCUUCCGCAAUGGACGAAAGUCUGACGGAGCAACGCCGCGUGAACGAUGAAGGCCUUCGGGUCGUAAAGUUCUGUUGUUAGGGAAGAACAAGUGCUAGUUGAAUAAGCUGGCACCUUGACGGUACCUAACCAGAAAGCCACGGCUAACUACGUGCCAGCAGCCGCGGUAAUACGUAGGUGGCAAGCGUUGUCCGGAAUUAUUGGGCGUAAAGCGCGCGCAGGCGGUUUCUUAAGUCUGAUGUGAAAGCCCCCGGCUCAACCGGGGAGGGUCAUUGGAAACUGGGAAACUUGAGUGCAGAAGAGGAAAGUGGAAUUCCAAGUGUAGCGGUGAAAUGCGUAGAGAUUUGGAGGAACACCAGUGGCGAAGGCGACUUUCUGGUCUGUAACUGACGCUGAGGCGCGAAAGCGUGGGGAGCAAACAGGAUUAGAUACCCUGGUAGUCCACGCUGUAAACGAUGAGUGCUAAGUGUUAGAGGGUUUCCGCCUUUAGUGCUGAAGUUAACGCAUUAAGCACUCCGCCUGGGGAUACGGUCGCAAGACUGAAACUCAAAUGAAUUGACGG